Molecule: transfer RNA, 72 nt
Filed under: Camelus bactrianus (Bactrian camel)
Lineage: Eukaryota; Metazoa; Chordata; Mammalia; Artiodactyla; Camelidae
Also listed under: 2 other names
Rfam family: tRNA
About the family: Transfer RNA (tRNA) molecules are approximately 80 nucleotides in length.
Source: Rfam by way of RNAcentral
GAGGGUAUAGCUCAGUGGUAGAGCGCAUGCCUAGCAUGCACGAGGUCCUGGGUUCAAUCCCCAGCACCUCCA